UCUCUGAAUGUUUUCCAGAGAUUCGGAGAGCUUUGAAUCUAUUCUGACCUUUACAUUGGUCUCCUGAUUUGAUUCAGAUUUGGAGAUUCAGCCUCAGAAUCAGGCCAAAUCUCCUCUGAAUCAAAUCACUACCCAAAGCUUUGCACAGCCCUAGUAUAUGUGUAGGAGAGAUCAGUGGCAAAUUACUCUGUUUUUGGAUCAAAAUGGAAGUUGAGGAGGAAUCGGACAACCUGGCUACAUCCACAUGAAUAUGGAUGUUUGGUUUCCUGGGAUCAACUAGCAGCAGGACACCUUAUGCCGCCACUAGUUAUCCCUGGGGAACGCUUGUGCCAUGCGAGCUCUGGUUUUUUUACCUCUGAAUAUCCUGAGGUAAAAAAAAAAAACAACCCACCACUCCCUUUGCAGUACAGAGAGCACCUGAAUGUGAGAUACGUGGCGCUGCAGGUGUGUCUGCAGUACCGCUUACCGCACAGCCGCGCUUGUCUGGAUGCAGCCUUUGGAAUCCUGGGUGCAGCCUCUGCAAUCCUACAGAGAUUCAGUUUACACAUUGUCCUUUGCUCAUAAUAUGCCCACAAGCACAACCUUACCCUUAAGAAAUAGGCUUUUUCAGGUGAAAUUGCAACUAGUUUCAACUGUUUUUUAAAUACAGAAACAUUUGCAUUUAACAGGAGAAUGGUUGAGAUUUUUUUUUCUUUUUUCUUUUUCU
Molecule: long non-coding RNA, 706 nt
Organism: Alligator mississippiensis (American alligator)
Lineage: Eukaryota; Metazoa; Chordata; Crocodylia; Alligatoridae
Exons: 3
Source: RefSeq, a predicted model, not a curated record